GGUCUGCCUCUUGGCCCUACCAUUAGGGUAGAAGAACGGAUGUACCAUGUCCGCCACCAACCUCACCCACUCAAAGAAGCAGGGAUGGCCAGGUUCCAACAGCCUGAGUGGCUGCCACCUGAUGGCUGAUGGAGCAGAGGCGUGAGGAAAAGCUGAUGGCACUGCUUUGUAGUGCCAUUCUUUGUCUCUCUUCAUCUUUUUCAGUUAAAGUCUGUUUUAUCAGAGACUAGGAUUGCAAACCCUGCUUUUUUUUGCUUUCCAUUUGCUUGGUAAAUGUUCCUCCAUCCCUUUAUUUUAAACCUAUGUGUGUCUUUGCGCAUGAGAUGGGUCUCCUGAAUACAGGACACCAAUGGGUCUUUACUCUUUAUCCAACUUGCCAGUCUGUGUCUUUUAACUGGGGCAUUUAGCCCAUUUACAUUUAAGUUUAGUAUUGUUACACGUGAAAUUUAUCCUGUCAUGAUGUUGCUAGUUUUUAAUUUUUCCCAUUAGUUAAUGCAGUUUCUUUAUAGUGUCAAUGGUCUUUACAAUUUGGUAUGUUUUUGUAGUGGCUGGUACUGGUUGUUCCUUUCCACAUUUAGUGCUUACUUCAGGAGCUCUUGUAACGCAAGAAUGUGGAUUUAUUUCUGGUAAGGUAAAUAAGUGGAUUUAUUUCUCAGUGCUGUAUUCUAUGUCCUUUACCCCAAGAAUCAUUACUUUUUAAAAUGCAAUUCAAAUUAGCAUAAAACAUUUACAGCCUAGGAAAAGGCUUGUGGCAUUAGAAUACUUAUUUAUAGGAUUAUUUUGUUUUUUUUUGAGAUAUGGUCGUUGUCAUCCAGGCAGAAGUGCAGUGGUUUGAUCAUAAUUCACCACAGCCCUGAACUCUGAGUCCAAGCCAUCCUUUUGCCUUAAUCUCCCAACUAGUUGGAUCUACAAGCA
This 915-nucleotide long non-coding RNA is filed under the name Pan troglodytes (chimpanzee). RNAcentral's name for it is "long non-coding RNA NONPTRT010762". The record is from RNAcentral. Lineage: Eukaryota; Metazoa; Chordata; Mammalia; Primates; Hominidae.